AUUUCACUGGCCCUGGCUUUCUGGAGGGCUUAUUCAAGUUGGAUAAACUUCAAAGGGAUCACAGAGCAGGCUCAGAAAUGUACUCAAAGUCUAGAUGUUUAUCCAAACUGCCUGAAGCCUUCAAGCCGGCUGUCACAUCUCUCCAGAGCUGGCAUUUCAGUACAUUUUUGAACAUUCCCUUCUCUGGUCGGGUACCAGCCUAUGGGUGGCUCUUCAGAACCUUUGCCCUAUUAUUUUUUUCUGGCCUGACACAGAGGUGUGCCCGUGGCCAAACAAUGCUAACAGGCAGGCUCCCGAGUCUGCCAAGUGCCUCCCACUCUGCUCUUAGAGCCAGGAGAGUCUAUUCUCUUUUCAUCUCUCACCAGUAAUUCUCAGUUAACUCUGGUCCUAACAGAAAACAUUAAAAAGCAAAUACAUCAUCAUUGCAUUGAAGUUGCAGCCAGAUUUUGGACGGUGGGUGAGGACAGAUGUGAAAGCGCUCCCAUUGGAAGGCUCCACUCUACUCUCAGCCCAGCCUGCAAAGCAAACUGGGGAUGGGUCCUGUGACCAGAAGCCUGCUGGCGCAAGUAGAAAGAAAGAGAAGCGAGGACCAGCUGUUGAAUCGUGCAGGUUGGCUCUGAAGGCCAGGGGGGUAACUGACAUGGGAGACAUCAAACGCGUACCCUUUGAGGGCCACCGGGGAAUCGAUCCUAAGAAGCGGUGCUUCCUUGGCUUUCCUUCCUGAGGCAAAUCCAUGCAGCUCUUGGGGAUUCUACGGCAGGCUAGGGCUUAGGCUUUCGUGCUCUGAGUGGCUGUCUCCCUGGAGUCUGAAAUUGCUGUCUUUUCUUGGACCAUGAAGAACCAGAUGGAAGCUGAAUUUUAUAGUCUCUUCUUCUGUGGUCAGCAGAAAAAAAAAAAAUCUGUGCAUCUUGCUCAUCAGCUCAGGAGCCGUGGGCUGCCCAGAAAACAGGGAGGGGUGCCUUCUGCUCUCCUCGGCAACGCUUCCACUUCCCACUCUGCUCCUCCAUCUCCACUUCCCAGUCUGUUCCAGACUUUCAAGGUAACGCAGAGAUCAUUCAAAUUGAUGAAGUCUAACUUGAAGAGCCUGUUUCCUCUUCCUGGUUUGUGCCAGGAACUGUACUAGGCUCUGGGGAAUCCUGAAACAAACUAGACAGACAUGGACUCAGCCCCCACCAUGACGACAGAGACAGCAGUUCAUUAAAUGAUUACGAGGGAGGGUGGGACGGUACCCCGUGGCGGGAGAGGUGCAUCGCUGUGGGACCUCACUGUCUAGACAGAAGUUGAUCCAGGCACCGGGAACAGCAUGUGCCAAGGUCCAGAGAUGACUGAGCGCAGCAGGCAGGUGGGGAGGCCACCAGCAGUGGGGCUGCAAUCCUUAGCACGAGCAAUGGUCACACAGUGGGUAACCGCUGGUGAGUUUUAAACAAAGGUUUGCCUAAUGAGUAGUUUGCGGAUUGCAGCGUGGAGAAUGGACUGGAGAGCCCUUAAUUUAAGAAGUCCAAGGCUACUGCAUAUUUAUUCUGCAGACAAAAAAAAAAAAAAAAAAAAAAAAAAAAAGAAUCCCGUGUUGGAAGCCUUGGGAGCUGAAAUCCUCUCUUUUGUCAAAAUAUUUUCCUUCCACCAUACUUCAACACAAUUCAGUAGCAUUCUCGCUCCACACGAGGUCUGUUAACCCUUACAAGAACAGCUCUUUUUUUCUUUCAUACUGUUCCCAUGGUGCCAUGAAGUAAGGGGCCAGGGGCCAGAUACCUGUAUGCGUUGGUCUCAUUUUACAAUGGGCUCUAUGGAAAGCGGUCCACAAAAUCCAAAAGGAUUCCAAACUUCAAACCUGGAUCUAGUUGGAAUCAAAGAGAAUUCCAUAAUGAGGUGGGUGUUGGUGUUCCUUCCCAGCAUGCCACAUGGGGAGCUUGGCACCCAGCCAAGUGGCAUUGGGGAAGAAAGAUUUUCCAGUGUGAGGCCUUCCAUUACCAAGCUCUGCUUCUCUGAUGGUCAAGCACAUGCCUUCUGUGAUCUCCGGAAAACUCUCACUUCCCCAAGGAAGGCAGCAAGCCAAGCUUUCUCUCUCCUUCCGCCAGAGCUGAAACAAUAACAGGAAGACCCCACCCACCGCUGGCUGCUUCAGGUGGUUAAGGUUUGGAAAUGAGCUGCUUGUUUUUCUGUCUCUUUCAUCUGCCCCUCCAAGAUAAACACACCUGCGCCCCCGUUGGCUUUGGUUGGUGUCUGGCUGCUUGAGUGGCUCCUUGGAACCUCCUGACCCCCAAGUAAUGCAGACCUCUGGCUGCGAGUUCUCCUAAGCCUUUUACUAGGGUAUAAAAAUGCAAAAAAAUUUCCUGAGGUGGGCGAGGUGGCUCAGUGGUGGCUGGCAACGCUGGUGACCUGUUCCCAUCCCUGGACCCAUAUGGUAGAAGGACAGAACUGACUCCUUCAAGCUGUCCUAAGACCUCCACAUACUGGCUUAGGCAUGCAAAUGCACGCACAGGUGUGUGUGUGUGCAUGCACAAAUGCAAUCAUAAAAGGAUGGACACAAUCAUAAACGGAUGGACUCCUGUGCUACUAAGGAACUCAGACUAAGGCGUCUGUGGAAUCAGAGAGGGUGAGUCACAUGACCUCACUUCGAAGGCUAGGUGUUACUCUUUGACCUUCAGCCCCUUACUUCAGAACUGCUUCUUUUUUGAGAUUUCACAGUUCAGUCCCACCAACAGUUUCUGGAAGACACUAUCCGAUGAGAAGCUGCGUUUGCUGAAACCAUCCUCUUCCCUGGGGCCCGCUGGCUGACUAAAGGCAGGAUCAAAGCGUGACGUCUCCACUUUUAUUUUACGUGUCUCCUUUUGCUACUUCAGACUUUGGGUCUGGGGCCCGGAGGGCUCAGCAAGGAAACACACCGACUGCCAAGCCUGAUGACCUGGGUUUGAUCUUCCCGGCCCCACGUGGUGGAAGGAAAGACGUGAUUCCACAAAGGUGUCCUCUGACCUCCACAGACGCACGUCGACACAUGGGACUGGUGAUCUUCCCCAUUCAAGUUGGAAGACAGCGAGAUAAGAGGGACUGAGGCAUCUUCAAGAUUUGCCAUAAUGAUUGCUGGAGAACGCAAUGGGAUUGCCAGAGGAGCCACGGACUCCAGGAGGCAGCUUAAAACCAUCAAAUGAGGGAAUUUCAGCCAGCAAUCUUCUGCUUGUAAUGCUUAAAAAUGAGCCAUAAGAGUACUUGGAACUUUAAUCUGGCCACAAAGCUAAAAGGUAUACCGAAGACGGUAAACAUUUCAGUCAGAUGUCCCUUCCUCGCCUGAACUGACAGCAGCGAGGAGGUGAACUCCAUCACACGUGCAGUCAACUGUUGCCUAGCAAACACCCACCCUAGUUUUAGGCCGCACGGGAUUGUGAACAGUGGUGUUAACUGACUGCAAAGGUUAAAUAAUGGUAAUAGAAAGUGGCCAUUUCUCCCUCGGUUGGCCAGAAAAGUUAGGGCAUGCGUUUUGAAUCGAAAACUCAUCUCAUCCUGGGACACACAUUUGGACAAGGACUUGAAGUGACCAGUUCCCUCCCCAAAGGGGGCAAAGUGGAGUCAUAGACAGUUGUGAGCUACGCAUGGUGUCGGAACGGAGCCCAGCUCCUCUGGAAGAGCAGCAAGUGCUCUAACCGCUGAGCCACCUCGUGCCUUCCCCUUCACACACUGCCCUUAUGCUCUGGUUUUACUCCACGCCCCUAACCUUCUGGUCUCUGAGUCUCUGUUGAGAAAGGCACUCUAGGGAAAAUGUCCUCCCUAACCCGAGGCUAACUCAUCCAAGGACUAGGGUGGAUUUCCAGUUCUCCAAUAGACUGCCACCUGCCAGAUUUUUGGUUUUUGUUUUAGCCUAGGAUGGCUUCAAACUGGGGAUCUUCUUAGAGCAGAGUGUUCACACCUUCAGCACUUGGAAAGUGGAGGUAGGAGAAACAGAAAUUCAAGGUCAGUUUUGACUAUGCAGCAAAUUCUAAGCCAGCUUGGGAUACACGGGUCCCUAAACGUUGGGGGCAGGGUGUGGCCCAAAUCAUCCUUUUACCUCAAUUUCCCAACUGCUGGAGGAUGGAGCUGUUUGUUUGUUUAUUAUUUGUUUGUUUUUGAGACAGGGUCUCUUGGUGUAGCCCUGGUUGUCCUGGAACUCACUCUGUAGACCAAACUGGCCUCCAGCUCAGAGAUCCGCCUGCCUUUUCCUCCCACGUGCUGAGAUUAAAGUUGUGUGCCACAACACCUGGUUGGCAUCUGGCCCUUACAAUGUCCUGUUCCAGACCACAAGAGCAGCACCUAGAAAUCUCAUAUCAUUGCCUUAAGCUGGAAGGGACCAACUACUGGUCUGACUCCACCGGUCUUCCUGACUUGUCCUGAGUCACGCUCUCUUGCAGUUGCCCUGGAUUCCAGGAAUUACAGGUCUGGUUGAUAAACGCUGCAGCAACUCUGAUACUACCCCGAAGGUUCUGAACCCUCCCUGAGGUAAUGAUUACCCAGCCACGGCUAGAGCAAGACUGCUUGGCCAUGCACCAGCCACCAGACUGCUUGGCCAUGCGUUUCUUGCCACCAGCCUUUUGUCUGUUCUUACAUAAACUCAGAACUCUUGCUAGCACCUCGAAGACAGAACUGAGGACGCUGGUUCCUCUUCCUUGGCAUGAUGGCUAUACGGAAUCAACUUCUUUCCCUUGUUUACCACUUCUUUUCUGUUUUGUCUUUUGGAGUGAGUGGCUGGGCCUGAUUUAUUGAGUCCACCACACCCAAGCCAGACUCCUGGCCUAGAAUUCAACAUGACAUAUUAAUAAUAGCACCGAGCUGUUAAAAUAUUCUGAAC
Long non-coding RNA from Myodes glareolus (Bank vole), 4813 nucleotides. RefSeq lists it as uncharacterized. The record is from RefSeq and is a predicted model, not a curated record. NCBI's taxonomy places the organism in Eukaryota, Metazoa, Chordata, Mammalia, Rodentia, Cricetidae.